AACGAACGCUGGCGGCAGGCCUAACACAUGCAAGUCGAACGCCCCGCAAGGGGCGUGGCCGACGGGUGAGUAACACGUGGGAACCUUCCCUAUAGUACGGAAUAGCCCAGGGAAACUUGGAGUAAUACCGUAUACGCCCGAAAGGGGAAAGAAUUUCGCUAUAGGAUGGGCCCGCGUAGGAUUAGCUAGUUGGUGAGGUAAUGGCUCACCAAGGCGACGAUCCUUAGCUGGUUUGAGAGAACGACCAGCCACACUGGGACUGAGACACGGCCCAGACUCCUACGGGAGGCAGCAGUGGGGAAUAUUGGACAAUGGGCGCAAGCCUGAUCCAGCCAUGCCGCGUGAGUGAUGAAGGCCUUAGGGUUGUAAAGCUCUUUUGGCGGGGACGAUAAUGACGGUACCCGCAGAAUAAGUCCCGGCUAACUUCGUG
RNAcentral lists this ribosomal RNA (430 nucleotides) under uncultured bacterium. RNAcentral's name for it is "partial 16S ribosomal RNA". It matches the Rfam family "Bacterial small subunit ribosomal RNA", at positions 29 to 507 of the family's 1533-position model. The record is from RNAcentral.